This is a non-coding RNA of Chlorocebus sabaeus (green monkey), 297 nucleotides long. It matches the Rfam family "Metazoan signal recognition particle RNA". Rfam says of the family: The signal recognition particle (SRP) is a universally conserved ribonucleoprotein. Lineage: Eukaryota; Metazoa; Chordata; Mammalia; Primates; Cercopithecidae. The record is from Rfam.
GCUGGGUGUGGUGGGGCACACCUGUAGUCCAGCCACUCGGGAGGCUGAGGCAGGAGGAUGGCUUGAGCCCAGGAGUUCUGGGCUGUAGUGUGCUAUGCCAAUCAGGUGUUCACACUAAGUUCAGCAUCAACAUGGUGGCCUCCUGGGAGCAGGGGACCAUCAGGUUGACUAAGGAGGGUUUGAAACGGCCUCUGCUGGAAACAGAGGUCAAAACUCCCGUGCUGAUUAGUAGUGGGAUCGUGCCUGUAAAGAGCCACUGAACGCUAGCCUGAGCAACACAAUGAGACCCCAUCUCUA